This 265-nucleotide ribosomal RNA is filed under the name uncultured soil bacterium. RNAcentral describes it as "partial 16S ribosomal RNA". It matches the Rfam family "Bacterial small subunit ribosomal RNA", at positions 26 to 294 of the family's 1533-position model. The record is from RNAcentral.
AGGACGAACGCUGGCGGCGUGCUUAACACAUGCAAGUCGAGCGGUAAGGCCUUUCGGGGUACACGAGCGGCGAACGGGUGAGUAACACGUGGGUAAUCUGCCCCUGGCUUUGGGAUAGCCACCGGAAACGGUGAUUAAUACCGAAUAUGACAGACCCUCGCAUGGGGGUGUGUGGAAAGUUUUUCGGCCAGGGAUGUGCUCGCGGCCUAUCAGCUUGAUGGUGAGGUAAUGGCUCACCAGUGGCUUCGGACGGGUAGCCCGGCCU